Molecule: long non-coding RNA, 798 nt
Organism: Anopheles gambiae (African malaria mosquito)
Lineage: Eukaryota; Metazoa; Arthropoda; Insecta; Diptera; Culicidae
Exons: 3
Source: RefSeq, a predicted model, not a curated record
CAACCAGCAAAACCGAAGCUAUUGGAAAACUUUCCUGUGUGCCAAAGCGAGAGAGCAUGUCUUCUUUCUCUAGAUUUUGGACAGCACAACGCCGAUCGUGUGGCCUAUGAACGAAAAACGGGAGAAGGGGAAACCGAUAUCCUUCGAGUGACACACACGCAUGCAUCUGCAUGCGUAUUCCGCUGAACCGAGACUACACAUCUCUCUCGAUCUCCCAUGAUUUUUCUGCUAUCGCGUUCAUCCGGGUGUUUGGCAUCCUCAGUCUGUCCAGAACUUUCACUGUGGAAGGAUGUGCUGGAGUGAUGUGUGAUUUCUUGUGCCCCGCACUUUGCUCGAUUACGUCUUGUGCCGUGUUCCUUCUUCUUCAUUUAUGGAAUGAUUUAUCCUUGUAAAUUUCUAAGUUACAGUGCACGCGCAUGUUAAUCGACGGUUGCCAACAUCCCGCAAAACGAUCGACGGAAGGAAAACGGUGUCCGGUUUUAAAAUAUAAAGAUUUCAUUAUAGCUCUUUCGUAGAAGAGCGCACUUCAAGGACGCCUAGGAUACGGCUAAACAUGCGCAGCACCAGUCCGUGACGUCAUUUCCAGACAGGCGCCGGCUGAACACGCGCCGCACCAGUCGAGGAUAUCCUAGCGCAGAGGGUAGAAGGAAGAACGAGAGGAAGGGUAAUAGAAAGCAACCGCAGCAUUUGGAAGGGGUGAAGCAUCCUGCCGUAUAUAGAGUGUGAGUGUGCCAAAACGCAUGUGGAAAGAGUAACACCAAUAAAUAGCAUGCGAAAAUGUGCAUAAAGCAAAAAGAA